RNAcentral lists this ribosomal RNA (253 nucleotides) under uncultured bacterium. RNAcentral describes it as "partial 16S ribosomal RNA". It matches the Rfam family "Bacterial small subunit ribosomal RNA", at positions 524 to 776 of the family's 1533-position model. The record is from RNAcentral.
UACGUAGGGUGCGAGCGUUGUCCGGAAUUAUUGGGCGUAAAGAGCUCGUAGGCGGUCUGUCGCGUCGGCUGUGAAAACCCGGGGCUCAACCCCGGGCCUGCAGUCGAUACGGGCAGACUAGAGUGCGGUAGGGGAGACUGGAAUUCCUGGUGUAGCGGUGAAAUGCGCAGAUAUCAGGAGGAACACCGGUGGCGAAGGCGGGUCUCUGGGCCGAUACUGACGCUGAGGAGCGAAAGCGUGGGGAGCGAACAGG